ACACGUAGGAGGCAAGCGUUAUCCGGAUUUACUGGGCGUAAAGCGCGUGCAGGCGGUCUGGUAAGUUGGAUGUGAAAGCUCCCGGCUCAACUGGGAGAGGUCGUUCAAAACUGCCGGACUAGAGGACGGUAGAGGGAGGUGGAAUUCCCGGUGUAGUGGUGAAAUGCGUAGAUAUCGGGAGGAACACCAGUGGCGAAGGCGGCCUCCUGGGCCGUUCCUGACGCUAAGACGCGAAAGCGUGGGGAGCGAACGGGAUUAGAAACCCUGGUAGUCC
Molecule: ribosomal RNA, 274 nt
Filed under: uncultured bacterium
Lineage: Bacteria
Description: partial 16S ribosomal RNA
Rfam family: Bacterial small subunit ribosomal RNA
Source: RNAcentral